Sapajus apella (tufted capuchin) is the source of this 643-nucleotide long non-coding RNA. RefSeq lists it as uncharacterized. The record is from RefSeq and is a predicted model, not a curated record. NCBI's taxonomy places the organism in Eukaryota, Metazoa, Chordata, Mammalia, Primates, Cebidae. The transcript is spliced from 3 exons.
CCAGCCCCCUUGUGGCCAGCCCCCCAGCAGUGCGAGACGUCCCCACAGGCCCUAAGUGUCCCUCAUACCAGUGAGCACCUCACCAGGCUCCUCAGGGACCUUCCCAGGAACUGUCCUUCUGACCCUUCCUCCCGCCUCUCCUCCCUCCAUCGUGCACACUCCCGCUCCUGCAGUCACGCCCUUGUUCCGAACACGAGGGGGCUCUACGUCCCUGCUGAAGCCCUGACCCAUGCACAGAGGUCGCCACGCUGAGGGAGGGGCCAAAGCCCCACUCCAGACACAGGCACGCCUUUCACAAGGGCCUGCACUGACACUAGCCCCAAACCGGGAUAGUAGACAAAUCCACCAUGCGAACUCGUCCUCCGGGGCUGGGCAGCACACAACCAGCCCUACAAAGGGAAGAAGGGAGCAGGGGACCUGGGCCCAGACACCCACACAGGUCUGCACCUUCCAGCAAGUGCCGCUGACGGCACCCCAACCCAACAUGCAACUUCCCAAAGGGCACGGGGCUUAGGUGGGUCUCCCGAGGCCAUCUGGAAAGCCUACGGCCCGAUCCGAGCUCCUACGAGUAUGGGAACAGAACCAUCAGUUAUGCCCCGAGGGACUCCGUUCUCCCCGGCCCCCAGUGUGGUACGAGAGCACA